Molecule: transfer RNA, 72 nt
Filed under: Thermaerobacter marianensis DSM 12885
Lineage: Bacteria; Bacillati; Bacillota; Clostridia; Eubacteriales; Clostridiales Family XVII. Incertae Sedis
Also listed under: 2 other names
Rfam family: tRNA
About the family: Transfer RNA (tRNA) molecules are approximately 80 nucleotides in length. Their secondary structure includes four short double-helical elements and three loops (D, anti-codon, and T loops).
Source: Rfam by way of RNAcentral
GCGCCCGUAGCUCAGCGGAAGAGCAACCGCCUUCUAAGCGGUGGGUCGGGGGUUCAAAUCCCUCCGGGCGCG